RNAcentral lists this unclassified non-coding RNA (345 nucleotides) under soil metagenome. Its description in RNAcentral is "partial contains 5.8S ribosomal RNA, internal transcribed spacer 2, and large subunit ribosomal RNA". The stretch from base 1 to 120 matches the Rfam family "5.8S ribosomal RNA", at positions 35 to 154 of the family's 154-position model. The record is from RNAcentral.
GAUGAAGAACGUAGCGAAAUGCGAUACGUAAUGUGAAUUGCAGAAUUCAGAGAAUCAUCGAGUCUUUGAACGCACAUUGCGCCCCCUGGUAUUCCGGGGGGCAUGCCUGUCCGAGCGUCAUUGCUGCCCUCAAGCACGGCUUGUGUGUUGGGCCUCCGUCCUCCUCCCGGGGGACGGGCCCGAAAGGCAGCGGCGGCACCGCGUCCGGUCCUCGAGCGUAUGGGGCUUCGUCACCCGCUCUUGUAGGCCCGGCCGGCGCUUGCCGAAACAUCAAUCUUUUUUCCAGGUUGAACUCGGAUCAGGUAGGGAUACCCGCUGAACUUAAGCAUAUCAAUAAGCGGAGGA